This is a long non-coding RNA of Cyprinus carpio carpio, 5430 nucleotides long. NCBI's taxonomy places the organism in Eukaryota, Metazoa, Chordata, Actinopteri, Cypriniformes, Cyprinidae. The record is from Ensembl.
CAAAAAUAAGCUAGUCCCAGACUAAAAUGCAUGUUUGAGCUAUCUCAACUGAAAAUAUCCUGCUCUGACAUAUCUUAAAAUGUGUGAGUGUCAUUGUUCUGUGUCAAGAUGUACACCUGUAAUGUUUUCUUCUAAGGCAUUUUUUGUAAAAGUUGUUCAACUAUCUUAAUUUAACUGAGGCCUAGUCCUGUCUUAAACUAAGCUCCGUUUGUGAAACCGAGCCUAAAUUUAUUAGUAAUAUGUAUAGCUUUAUUACUAAAUAUAUUGAAAUACAAUUAAAAUACAAUAAAAUAUAUAACUUUAUGUAUAAAUGUAUUUUUAUGCAUAAAUGCAAACAAAAUAAUCUCAAGACAGACAUGAACUAAAUCCCCACCCGGGUUCUCAGUUUUAAAAUGGGUGGAGUUACCGCCAAUUGGGUACAAUUUGAUUGGCCAACCUAGUAAAGCUAAUUCCACACAGAUGCGUCUUUGUUCCUUUACCCUCUGUGUGUGAGGAAAGGCGUGUAGGGCGUGUUCUCUUCAGACGUACAGCAUCUCCGGCGUUCCUGUCUGCAAUAUGACUCGUUCCUUGAUUUAAUUAAGCACGAUGGUCUCGUCUGGUUACCAGCGCGACUUUGAUGCCUGUGGCACAGAUUGCAGGGCCAGAUCCUCACCCUGGACUGACUCAGUGACCACAGUCUCGCCCCGGAAAAAAGACAUGAACCAACAGGAGUCUAAACGCAAGAAUGAAUUUAGUCACCGCAAGGUGAGGCUGAAACCAAGGCACAUUUUUCCUUCAUAAAUUUUAAAAUGCAAGAGAAAAUUUCAGGAAAAACCACGUGUCCCUAUGUUACUUAAAACUGAACAAAUAUAAUUAGGAUUCUCUCUCUCUCUCUUUAUACAUUUUGAAUAAUGCUGAAAUUAUAAAGAUUGAAAGUUGUAUAUCCAAGACUAACCCUACAGACUAACUAUUACAUAAAUCAAAUAAUUCUGUUAUGACAUCAUCCUUUCAGGAAAUGAAACACUUUUUAUGAUUUCAUAUUAUGUUUUUAUGUUUGUUUCAGCAGAAGGUGAAAACACUUUUACCAUGAUUUUUAUAUAGCAAACUGUAGCAAAUAGUUCUAUUACUAGUGAAAAUGCUCUAAAGUCAUUUCAGAGUAGAAGAGAUGUCAAAAUUAUUUAUUAUUAUUAUUAGUCACUGUUUUGUUUGCCUAUAUUGAAACUUUGGGGAAGGCAAGUAUAUUAAUACAGCACAUUUCAUACACAAUUCAAAGUGCUUUACAUAAAAAUAAUUAAAAUAAUCAUAAAAGUAAUCACAGCAAUAAAUAAUGAAUGAUUUAAAAAUUAAUUUAAAAUGAAUCAAGAGUUGAGAAUAAAAGAUAAUGAUGCAUAAAAUACAGUGCAAUCAGUUCGGAUAUAACUUUAGAAAUAUUACACUACUGUUCUUUAAGAUUUUUAAAUGUUUCUGAAAUAACUUUCUUAUGCUAACGAAGGCUGCAUUUAUUUGAUUUAAAAUAUUAUAAAUCAGUAUUGUUGUGAAAAUAUAUAAAAUGAGAAAACUUUGAUGGUAAAGUUGAAUUUUCAUUAUCAUUGCUCCAGUCUUCAGUGUCACAUGAUCCUUCAGCUUAAGAAAUAUUUCCUAUUAUUGGCAAUGUUGUUAAACGGUCUGCUUAAUAUUUUUGCAAAAACCAUGAUAUAUAUAUAUAUUUUCAGGAUUCUUUGAUGAAAGUUCAAAAUAGGGUUGUCGCGAUAUAACGGUAUUGACGAUAACCGUGAUAUUCAAAGCAACAAUUAUCACUAUAAUUUAGUGUGUGACGAUAUACCGCAUUAUUUAAAAUGAACUGCUCUCUUAUGAUAACACCACAUGUAAAUACUCCAGUGCCAGUACCUGGUUGAGCUCCCAGGUGGCAGUAUUGUGCCUUAACGCUGACACCUGUCACACAAGAAGAAGAGCAGCACUUGCAGCUACUGUUCAUCAGAGUAAGUUGCCAUUAUUUUACUAGUCAUAGAAUGGGAAACGUUAUAUUAACCUGUUAACAGCGGUUUUCUGUGUUCAUAUAUUUAAGUAAAAGGUGAUUAUUUUAAUAAGUACCACGUUUUCUUUACUCGUCUUAUUUUUGUUUUUGCAAUUAAUAUGGCCUGUGCCUAGUAACACUGUCUUUGUUCAAAUCUAUUAACAGUUACACGAUUAAAACUGAUCUUGAAAAACUGAGCAACCACAUUGCUAGAUUAAACUUGUAAAAUGUUAAGUUGGUCUCAGUGCCAUGCACUUAAUGCCUCAUCUGUGGUCAUUCUUACCUUAGUUAACAUAUAUAAAUAACUUAAAUAAUAAUGAACACUAUUUCCACAGCAUUUAUUAAUAUUAGUUCAUAUUAAUUUCAGCAUUUACUUAUGCAUUAUUAAAAUCACAAGUUGUGUUUGUAAACAUUAUGAACUAACAUGAACGAUGAACGAUUUUUAUUAACAUUAACAAAGAUUAAUAAAUUGUGUAAUAAAUUAAUUGUUCAUUGUUCAUGUUAGUUAAUACAUUAAUGUUAACAAAUGACAUCUUAUUGUAAAGUGUUAUUAAUAUUUAUUCAUCAUUCUGUUGAACUUGACAGUAUUUUCUCUCUUGUUAUAUCAUAGGAGCUUCAAAGAAGACGGAGAAAGCCAGAGUCUUGUGCCCUGCGUUUAUUAGUAUCCUUAUGUUCGUUGGGUGAAAAAGAAAAACCUGAUAAACAAAGUAAAAAAUAAUUUGACUGAUAUCUUCCCCCCCACAAGGUUUCUAUAGAUAUCACAAUAUAUCAAAAUCGUGAAUUCUUAUGGCCACAAUAACCGUGAUAUGAAAAAUCUAAUAUCGUGACAGCCCUAGUUCAAAAGAACAGCAUUUAUUUGAAAUUGAAAUCUUUUGUAAGAUUAUAAAUGUCUUUACUGUCAUUUUUGAUCAAUUUAAUUCAUCCUUGCUCAAUAAAAGUAUUAAUUUCUUUUUUUAUAUAUAUAUUUCUGACCUGAAGGGUUUGAACAGUAGUGUAUGUGAAACAUUCAUCCCAAUUAUGCUGACAGUUGAAAGAGAUACAAGAGAUGAAAAAGAGCUAGGAAGAGAGAAAUAAAAUCAGGAGAAGUGAAAAUGAAAGGGGUCUCAAAAACACAUUACGUAAAUCAGCAGUCAACUAAGCUGGAUUACAUGAUGCUCUCAUAUUCACAUUGCUACAUGUGUGAAGCUAUUCAGCCUUCGUCCUGCUUUUAAAAAAUAUCAUACACUCACAAACACACACAGCACAGAAGACCACCUGACCACUACAGUCACCUUCAAAUUAGAGCGUACCGACUAAGAGCUACUCUGAAGGUCUCUGAAAAUUGUUGGUUUCUGGGAAAAACAAUGUGUGACGUGAUCCUUCACUUUUAUUAGUCCCUUGCAACCCUUCACAAAUGCACACACAGGUUUAUAGGUUGCUGUUUUCACAGACAGGUGGUGAUUUGAGUGCAUGUGAGUGUGUUUUGCACAGUCGGGGACAAUUUUGCUGCUGACCGUGUUUGUGUGAAUUGCUUGAAGGCAAAGUGGAUGGUUAACUGGUGUAGUAGCAGUGAUUUUCAGGACACUAACAGGUGGUUUGGCUGACCACCCCAUCACACACACUCUCUCUCCCGCAGAGAGGGACAGAAAGUGGUCUUAUAGCAGUUUGUCAGCCUGGGUAUUUAAUCCAGUACAAAAAGCUGUGUGUACAGUGACAGCAUGUCACAGCUGCUUACACACACACACACACACACACACACACACACACACAUGAGCCUGAUGUGCACAGCCAGAUUUAUCAGAAUCAGAAUCAGAAUCAGAAAGAGCUUUAUUGCCAAGUAUGCUUGCGCAUACAAGGAAUUUGUUUUAGUGACAUAAGCUUCCAGUACACAAAAGACAACAACACACAGUCAAAAAAAUAAAAAAUAAAAACCCUUUGCAGAUAAAUAAGUGUAUAAACAAUUGUGCUAUAAAUGAUAAUGGAAUUGGAUUGAGUAAGAUGCAGGGAUGUACUAGGAUGAAGGGGUAACAAAUAAAUAUAAGGAUAUUGCACAUUUUUAUUGUAUAAGUGGGGAACAUUUAACUGUUCAUGAGGUAGAUUGCCUGGGGGAAGAAACUGUUCUUGUGCCUGACUGUCCUGGUAUUUGCAGCUCUGAAGCGCCGGCCAGAUGGCAAGAGUUCAAAGAUGGGGUAACUUGGGUGUGAGGGAUCCAGAGUGAUUUUCUGAGCCCUUUUCCUCACUCUGGAUGUAUACAGUUCUUGAAGGGUGGGCAGGGGAGUACCAAUAAUCCUUUCAGCAGUCCGAACCGUUCUCUGUAGUCUUCUGAUGUCUGAUUUUGUAGCUGAACCAAACCACACAGUUAUUGAAGUGCACAGGACAGACUCAAUGACGGCUGAGUAGAACUGUUUCAGCAGCUCCUGUGGCAGGUUAAACUUCCUCAGCUGGCGAAGGAAGUACAGCCUUUGUUGGGCCUUUUUUUAACAAUGGAGUCAAUGUGAUUGUCCCACUUCAGGUCCUGAGAGAUGGUGGUUCCCAGGAAUCUGAAUGACUCCACUGCAGCCACAGUGCUGUUCAUGAUGGUGAGUGGGGGAGUGCAGGGGGUUUCUUCUGAAGUCCACGAUCAUCUCCACUGUUUUUGAGCGUGUUCAGCUCCAGGUUGUUAAGACUGCACCAGACAGCCAGCUGCUCAACCUCUUGUCUGUAAGCAGACUCGUCACCGUCCUGGAUGAGACCGAUGAGUGUGGUGUCGUCUGCAAACUUCAGGAGCUUGACAAAGGGGUCUUUUGAGGUGCAGUCGUUGGUGUACAGCGAGAAGAGCAGGGGGGAGAGAACACAUCCCUGAGGGGCACCAGUGUUGGUGGAGCAGCUGUUGGACAUGAAUUUCCCCAGUCUCACUAGCUGUUGCCUAUCUGUCAGAAAGCUGGUGAUCCACUGACAGAUAGAACUAGGAACAGAGAGCUGGGUCAGUUUGGUCUGGAGGACUGUUGGGAUGAUGGUGUUGAAAGCCGAACUGAAGUCCACAAACAGGAUCCUCACAUAAGUCCCUGUUUUGUCCAGAUGUUGCAGGAUGAAGUGCAAUCCCAUGUUGAUUGCAUCAUCCACAGACCUGUUUGCUCGGUAAGCAAACUGCAGGGGGUCCAGUAAGGGUCCAGUGAUGUCCUUCAGAUAAGCCAGAACCAGUUUUUCAAACGAAAAACUGAGAAAGAAAGAAAGGGUUUAUUUUAUGGUCCUUGAAAAAACAUGUUAAUAACCGCUAUGAAAUUCAGGUAUUAAAUCUGUAACUCUGACACAGUUUUGUAUGUCCCUUUAAAAAAGUACUGUAUUGGAACUUGGAAGACCCUUUUCACUUUGGAGCUUUGUGUAAUUUGUAAUGAAAACUGUGUUCACUAAACCAGGAUUCAUCAAGUGCGUUUUUUUGUGUAACUUAAUAAAGUUUUCAUUUUAAAAUUAUUUAAAAU